UUUUUUUUUUUUUCAGCUUACCAAAAAUAAAAGAAAGAAUAAAUUAAAGGAAACCCCCUCCAAUGUGAAAGUAAACAACAUGACAUUUUUAGACAAAAUGACAGUCAUUAGAAAAAUAGAAAGCUUGAGGUUGUUGGGGUAGUCAAAGUCAAGUUCUCUAGCAUCAAUGGUAUGCAACUACAAGAACACAAGGCACAAAUCCAUAGUGUCAUAUAAGAACAUUGCCAUGUUCCCAUCCACAUAAAAAGGGAUUGGGAUUGUAAGAAUCAAGAUCCUAGAUCAACUCUGCAGGAGUAUUCAGCAUUCAACCAUGUUAUUGAAUUAAAAAUUGACAGAUUCUAUAAAACAGAAAUGGAAAACAAAUACAAUAUCAUUAUCUAAUGAAAUAUACCAUUUGAGUAAAAAAAAAUUUACAUAAAUGAAGACACACUAGAUAAGAAAAUGUAUUAAGAUAUGCUAAUAAAGCAAUAGGAAUUUAUUUUCUUUUCAUAUGUAAUUUUUUUUCAAAAAUUAAAAAUAAAUAAAUAAAUUUCCUAUUACAUGGAAUUAAACCUAGAACUUUCCAGGUCUAAAGGCCACAAAUAAAGCAAUAGGAAUAUGGCAUGACUUCAAAACAAAGCAUUGUUCUUUUUGUUCUUAUAGGCAAAAUAAGAAUAGAGAUGUAUUAAAAGUGCCAAUCAAAAAGGCAAAGAGGAUCUAUUCUCCAUGGCUUUCUUCUCUUCUUGCCCACAACACUCCCAUUCCAACCUAUUAACAAGUCCUUCAAUGAAUGUGGGAGAACUCAUGAAAUGUCAAAUAAAGAGAAAAGAAAGUGUCAUAGACCUCUAUCUUCCCAUAAUGGAAAAGAAGAUGGUUUAUUGAUUCUUCCGCAUCUUUACACAUACAAAAAUAACCUGCCAAAAACCACCCUCUUCUUUUAAGUUAGUCCAUUGUAAGAAUCUUUACCCAACCCACUUUCCACAGACACAAAAAUAAAAAUAAAAACAAAAAAAUAAAACAAAACAAUAAAUAACCACUUUGGUAGGAGCCCAAGAGUCCCACGCUAUCUUUAAGGGGAAUGACACUACAACAUCCAAUUCCAAGGCAGAGUAGAAAGACUUCACCAAGAAUUCCACACUUUUGCUAGCCUUCCUAACCAUCUUAUCCCCCUUUCCCACUUCUUCGUAAUGAAUAAAGCUUCCAAAGAAACUCCUAAACAUUACCCAUCUCCCAAUCUUGAAAAUGUCUUGAGAAGCACAGGUUCCACAUGACCAUCUCACCUUCUACCCCCCAAACCUCAUCCAUCCAAGCUUCCUUGGAAGUUGUAAAGGAGAAAUAGAGAUGGAAAAGAGUCCUUGAAGGGAACAUCACCGCACCAUACAUCAUGCCAAAAUUUUAUUCUUCUCCCAUGGCCCACCUCAAAUCUCAUGUUAACUUUAAAAAUUUGCCACCUUUUUCUUAUCAACUUGCACAAGCCAACACCAUAGCCUUCUCUCCUUAUCCAAGAGUACCAACCACUUGGCUCUUCUCCAAACCUUCCCACUAUGACCUUUCUCUAAAGCAUAUCCCCCUCCAAAGUGAAUUUUCAACACCAUUUACUCAAUAAAGCCUUAUUGCCCCUCCUUUUCACCUUUGCAAAUCCCUUUGAAUUUUUUCUAGUCUCACCAGCCAUCAACUUGGGAAUUACAAAAAGGAACAUAUUCCUUAAUGCCUAGACCCCUCCUUUUAAACUUUGAAAAUCCCUUUGACUUUUUUCUAGUCUCACGCCAUUACAAAAAGGAACAUGAAGGAAAUUGGUAAAACAAAGCAUUGUUUUACAAGUUAAAGAAGUAAUUACACCCAAAAAAAGAAAAAGAGAUAAAAAAAAAUAAAAAUAAAAAAAGGUGAUCCAACAUAAAAUUUGGCUAGGAACACUUGCAGAAGCUAUUUGAAAAUAUAUUUAAAUGAAAGAUACUCACUAUAACCCUUUUUUUAUCUGAAAUAAACUAAUUCAUUAAUAUGAAUUUUUAAGUACAAACGAAAAACAAGUUAUCCUACCAGCAAAAAAAUAAAAUAAAAGCUGAUCAAAUGAAGAGAGAGAACCUCUCGAGUAGGAACAAUAAAACAGUUAUACCUCUCAAGAAUAGCACAAACUGUUUCGCCUAUGAAAAAACCAAUAGUGUAAAAUUUACCUAUAAGAUACUCCUAUGGCACAACUUUGGCUACCAUGUCCCUUCUCACAGUGCCUUUCAAUCGAAAAAAAUGUAAUCAUAGCUCAUCAGAAAACACCCAAGUUGAAUGUGAAGUCCAAAGAGCCUACUGAUUUUGAUAGGAAUUAAGAAAAAUUCAAGAACCGGAAAUUCUCUUCUAGGAGUUGGGUAGAAAUUGUACCGGGUUGUUAUCCAGGGUUCUAUUUUUAAGUUCAAGUCCCAACAGGGAUGCGCAUUCAUUUAGCCAACACUAAGCACCUUUACAUGUAAAACUGUCAUACCUAUUUCCCUCUUCUCAUAUUUAACUAUAUUAAAGAUAUUAUCAAAAUAAUAUAUUCCAGCCAUCAUAAAACAGGAGCUGACAUCACAGAGCCAACAACUCAGCCUAGGAAGUUUGAUGAGUGAGCUAACAUAAGAUUAUAUCCAAAACAUAAAGACAACAUUUUUGAUCUUAUAAAAAACAUACAGCUUCAUUAUCAUCAUCAAACAGAGAAGAACUUCAUCCAAAACCUUACUUACAUUGAGAAAAAACAGUAUUAGUGAAACAGCUCAAAAUUGUAUCUGACCUGUGAAUCCAACUACAGGCCACGGCCAGUUCUUUGGCUCUUCAUGUGCUCAUACUCAGGAUCAUCUGUGGGCAACUCAUACCGACAAACUGGGCAAGUAUUGCGAAUGCUCAGCCACGGUACUAUGCAAUCUCCAUGGUAAUGAUGAGAGCAAGGAAGUCUUUUCACCUUUUCCUCCAAUAAAAUCUCAUCCUUACAAACUGCACAAACCACAUUGUUCUUCUCCAAAUAUUGUUGCGUUAAUUCAACCACCGGAAGAUUCUGCACAACCGACUUGGCGGCAGGAGGACUACCCUUUAAACCAGCAUCAUCUUCUGUGAAUAGCCCAAAAAGGGUUACAUAUUCUGUGGCAUUAACAUAAUCAUCUUGAUCGGUAAAGAAUGAAUCGAUAUCCAAGUCAUGUUCUAAAUUCAAUGUCCUCUCCAAAUUGUUCAUCGCCAAUAGAACUUCCCAAUCAAGACUCCGAGCCGCUUCGUCCCUGCCAUCACCAGCUUCUUCUUCUUCUUCUUCCUCUGAUGAAAUUUCAGAGGAAAGCGAUAAUUCGUCAACCCCAUUAACCGCCAAGCUCAAGCUUGCUCUCUCAUCCACCUGUUCCCAUUCAAAAUCUUCAUUAUUGGUCCUAGUAUCCUCCAAUGGCAGACAAUCCCAAUAAAGCCGAGGAUCCAAAUCCUCAACCCGAUCCAACCCAUAAUCAUCAUUUACUUCAGAACUAAAUUCAACCCCAUCAUCCUCCGAAUCCGAAUCCGAAUCGGAUCCAAUUCCAACAACACGAAGCCCAUACGCCACCGCAGACGCAUUCUCGCCAUGCACACUCGAAGAUUCACCCGAUUCGGAUGCCCAAGCCAUCUUAUCAGAUUCAAACCCAGUCCCUAACCCUAACCCAAACUCGUCCCCAUGAUUUUGCUCAACCUCACUUCCCACUCCCAGAAUCCUAAGAUCCAAAUCAUCCGAAAACGGAUCCAAACCCGAAUCUCCAUCAUCAUCCGCAUUUCGGAAGUCCUCAGAUCGAUUUUCAAACAAAUUGGUAACCAUGUCGACCUGAUCCUGGCCGUAGAAGCAAUCUCCGUCGGAAUCGUAAGAGUAGAAGUGGUCGUAGUUGGAAAAGAUGGGGAUGGAGCGUAGGGUUUCUACAUCUUCGUAUACGACGGAGGGUUCCUGAGGGAAUUGAGCGUCCGAAACGCCCGCCAUUGUCCUCUUCGAUGACAUUCCACCUCCCUUGUCUUUUGCCUCCCCGCUCUAAUAACGGAAUACCCUCGAUUAACCGACGUCGUUUUACCCUUCCGCUGGAGAAACGGAGAAAUGCAACGACGCCGUUUUGACUUUCCUCACCAUGAAACGGUAAAGGUAAAAAAGAACUAGUUAUCUUGAUACUUUACAGAUAAAUUAAAUAACAUAAUAGAAACUUGGGUUCUGUUUGGUAAAUAUUUUUUAGAAUAAUUUUUUAUUUUUUAAAAUAAAAAAUAGAAAAACAUGUUUCACAACCAAAAACUAUUUUCUAAUCUUUUAAUUUUUUUUCACUUGUUUUCUAAAAAUUAUUUUAAAAAAUAAUCAUAUAAACUAUAUAAUUAAAAAUAAAAUACUAGACAUAAAAAUUAUUUUUAAAACAUAUUAAAAACUAUUUUAAAUAUUUAAAUUUUAAAUAAACCAUUGUUCUACAAAAAUUAAAGAACAGUUUCAAAAGUUAUUCUUAAAAACUAUUUUUUCAAAUUUAUUUUUGAAAAUAAUUAUCAAAUAAGUCUUUAAUAUUUUAUCAACAUAAUAAUAAUAAUAAUAAUAAUUCUAUAAAAAAAACUUCUCAAAUUUAUUUUUAAGUUUCGAAAACAAUUCCAAACACAGCUCGAUAGUUCCCCUAAACAUGAUUUUUUUUGUAGUUAGAUUUUGGUUCUGAUGACAAUGACACCUAUGAGAAAACGUUUCUUUCAUUUAUAAAUUUGAAUUCCAUCCUUAACUCAAAUAUAUUGAUCAUAUGAAUUCAAAGAAGCAACUGAAAAAUGUGAUUUGGUAGACAGCCAAAACUCAUCAUUUUCAAUCAUAAUUUCUAAGUGAUGGCUUAACAUAUUUGGUGGUAUAUAUGAAUGACAAGAUGUUGGAAGGCUCCAAAAAUGCAUGAUUGUCAUGUGAUCUCACAAACAAAACCUGUCCCCAUCCCAAUUUCUUCUGAGAAUUUUCCAGGAAAGGACCCGGAAAGAGGGUGAGAGUCUUCACAGCUCCUUUAUGAAUGUGGAAAAAAUGAGAGGGAGUUGGGUACAAUGUCUGAUUGUUAGGAUAUAUGUAGCUUUCUUAUAUUUAUGCAGCAAAAUUUUCUCCUAACUUUGACAAUGGCCCAUUAUUCCAAAAGCUGUGUUGGAAUAAUCUGCCUUCUUUUCAAUGACCUCCAAUGAAGAAAAUAUUGAGAGGUUGGAGGUGAUGCUUUAGUUCUGUUUGGAAAUUGAGUACUUCGAAAACAUUGUUUGAAAACAGUUUUAUAAUAUUUUAUAAAAUAAAAGUCUGUUUAAGAACGUAAAACAUUCUUAAACUAUUUUUUAUGUUUUUAAAUAUAUUUAAAAAAUAAUUUUUACAUGUAAUAUUUUAUUUUUAAUCAUGAAUUAAUAUUUUUUAAAACAAUUUUCAUAAAACAAGAGAGAAAACAUAUGAAAACAAUUAAUAGAUAUCCUCCAAAAACAUCAUAUUUUCUAUUUUUAAUAAUAAAAUUGCUUUUUAUUUUCUGGUUGUCAAACAUUCUUUUCUGUUUUUUGUUUUAAAAAAAAAAAUUGUUUUUAGUUGAAUCUAGGGAGGAAUACUUCUCCUUUUAUCAUUAGGCCAUGUUUUAAGAUACCCAGAUGGGGGCAACUCCUGAUUUAGAUUGUGUAGAUUUUUGUAUGUUGAAAGAGAUGAAUAAUGCUCUAAUACUGCAAGCCAGUGGGAAGUGCUCAAAUUUGUGGGUGAUGUGAAUUUUUGGGUUUUUGGGAGGCUUUGGAGUUCAAAAUAUGCCCCCUUUGUUGGGAUUGAGCCACAUGGACCCAUCAUGGCUAACGCUUAGCACUUCCGAAGGGAAGGCCAGAGGUUGUAGCCCCUCAAAUCCACCAAUUGUUUAUUUGUCUCAAAGGGGGCGUCCCCAAGAGGAUUCAAGACUAGGACUAAACCUUAUGUCCAACCAUCUCCUGGUACCAUCCGGGUAAGUAACCGUUUCCAUCUUAUUAAUUGAUACUUGGCUGAAUACGGCACAAAAUCAAGACCUUGUACCUUUUUUCUAGAACAAUUACAUUCUUUCUCAGGGUGAAAUUGCCUGUUAAUAAUGGUGACAUCAAUAUUCCAUGAGACGGCCGCCUGGUGAGGACUUCCUUUUCUAGCUCCUUCAAUGUGAAAACUUUUUUUAGAUGUUUAUCACUGAUGACGUUCUUGGAAAACCAUCUCGAUGAGUCCAAAGCCUAUGGUUGAAUUCCCUAAGGUAAAUGCAUAGUUUAAUUUCCAUUGGUAUGUCCAGCACUUGGUUUAGGAAAUGUAGUUGGGAUUCCCACAGCAGAACGUAUCUGACAUCGACGAUUCUUCCAAAGAAACAAGGCGUCAAAACUAUGGUAUAUAUAUGGCCAAGGUGAAGGAUGGUGUUUUCCCUCUUCUUCCUUCCUUCCCUGUCUGUGUCUCUCUCUCAGCUACCAUGGACAAGGUAUAAUAUACAUAUGGAGACCAUGUCCAACUUCAGUGUCAUAUAUGACACUAGCUGUCAAUAGUUGAAGGAGAGGAGUCUUGUUUUUGAUGUUUGUUUUUAGUCUCUCCCCCUCUCAAGCCCAGUGACCUUGGGCUUCUUCUAGCUUAGAUAUUGCUUUGUUUUGUUUUGUUUUGUUUUCAUUUUGACCUUAGAACUGUUCAUACAGCUCUAUUUGGAGCUUUCCAUCUUUUUUUAUGGUGUGUUCUUUAGUAUAUCAAAAGAGUAAGCCACUGAAACAGCAUCUCCUCCACAGAGAUAUGAUCUCUAUUCUGUGAUAGUCUCAUCAUGACAUCUCUAGAAAACCUGCCGAGUUUUCAGGAAUCUGAUAACAAUCAACCACAUCUGCAUAUAAAAUUGGCAAAUUUUUGUUCUUAUUUCUCCUCCAAUUCUUUGUCUUCUAGAUAUGUAAGGAAAAAAAGGCAUGGAAGCUUGUUUUUUCUUAGUUGUCACAUGCAUGAGAUGGACUAAUUAAGGUUUUUUCUUUUCAGAACAUCGAUAAUUCAUCCAUUUCAGCUGAUGGGAGCAUUGAUAGUUCAUCCAUUUCAGCUGAUGAGAGCUUCAACAGUGACAGCCCUGACAGGGGGACUUACAAUAGAGCUCUAGAAAUUGAAUCCAUGGAUACAAGAAAAAAGCCUGCAGACUCUGGGAAGAUGAUCAUUUUUGAAACAUGGGGGCAACUUUUGGUCAUGGUGCCAUUCACCAUUGCCAUCACCCUAUUUGGUGCAUCCUGGGCUAACGAGCGCGAAUACAUCGUUCCUGGCUUCUUUCCUAACUCCCAAACAUUCUUCUUGAUCACAACGUUGAAUUUCUACGUCUCAAUAAUUGGAAUCGUCGUUGGGCAUGUGUCUCCCACCUUUGCUAUAGGGUUUCACCUCAUUGCCUUCUUGUGCGCCCUUAUAUCACUGACCAUGCUCUUUGAGGCGCUUCUACCAAAUGAGCUUAGUGCAGUGCCAUGGAUUUUCCUAGCACUUGUCAUCUCCAUUCUUUGCGGAUUAGUCAUUUAUGAGUGGCAUUUCAUGCCCAUAAAGAACAACCCCCAUGGCCAAAACGAAGAAGUUGUAGCUCCCAAUGGAUCCUAGAUGGAAGCACAAAAGUGGUUAAUUUUCUUGAUUGAUCUAAAUUAAGGAUAUAUGUAUUGAAGGUCCCCUUAGAGGAUUAAGUUCAGUCAGACAGCUUGAAACAGGAUUUUUUCUUUUUCCUUUUUCCCCCACUUUGGUAAGUGAAGAAAAGAGAAUGUAACGCUCUUACAAUUGAGAAGAAAUGAUAGUUUUUUUCUCAUUCCUUUUGAGAUAUCAACCGUAAGCUGCCAAUUUUGCCCAAACACAUUGGUGAUGAAAAGUAGAAAGAACAAAAAACCGGCUAAAUCAAACCAAAACUGAUACACAUAAACUCUCAUACUUAUCAUCCAUCGUUUACAUUAUUAAUUAAGCGCAAAUUUUUCAUAUUUGAUGGGAUUCCAAAUCAUACCUACUCAUUUUUUUUCCUAUGAUUGUGCUAAUUCUUAUGAGUGACAUUGGAUAUAUCGAUAGUAUAUAAGAUAACUUAAAACUGUUAUUAUUAUUACUAAACCAAACCAAAUUGAUUAGUUUCCUCUUAAGAUUCAAUUAAUUUGAUUCUUGAUAUAUAAAAUCGAUUAAAUCUAUUUGGUUUUAUAUGUAUCAAAAUCAUCGCUGAGGAAUAUAACACCAAGUAACAGCAUAAUUCCAUGUAAACAAGAGUUCUAUGUAGGGUGGGGAAAUGCCAAAGUAGGGGGGUGCAAAAUCCAACCAGAUGAGGCCAGCCUUGGGCCCAGAAGACAUGGCCAACAAUAGGAAUGUGAACCUAAAACUUCAUCUUAAUGGGGUUGCGUUCGAUUCAACAAAUGUAAGCUGCUUUUGAAACCUCUAUGUCAAUGGAAAGAAAACAAUGAAAAUUUUGAACAAGGAUUCUAAGACUUGGAAGGUUUCAGGCCCCCAUACAUUUCCUAUGUGGUACAAUAAAUUCAUGCAAUCUUCUAACAAUCUUUAGAUUGCAAGAAUUGAAAGAUAUAAAAGGAGUAGGACAUUUGGAGCAAUGUCAAGAUUCAAUGCAUCAAAAUUGAUGCCUUAAAGCUAUGAAUUAGCUUAGGAUAGGAGUUGUAAAUCUUAGAACACUGACGAAAAUUAAAUUUCUAUGAACCAAAUGUUUUUAUUGUUGAUCUCGAAACAACCACCCACAUUGUUUUUUCUAUUCAUACUUGUGUAAAUGGGUCGGCAUGAAUAUGUCAUGCACUUGAACCGAAGGUUCAUGAGAGCUCUAAAAAGCUUGUCUAAUUUCUUUUAAGAGGUGGUUCCAUUUCUAUUCUCAUAUAUAAGAAAAUAUAUAAAGUGUGUCCUAUAAUUAAGCACACCGUCAUAAGAGAUACGUUAUUCAUUAAAAAGUAUGUAAUCAUCCUCAACUAUUAUAGAAUGUACACUAUUUCAGCCAUAGGCAUAGUCACUUGUAUAAAAUAAUCAACAAUACACUACUUAGUCAACAAGUGACCUGCAUAAACCUAUUUCUUGGAAUCUUCGUUCAUGUAGGUUGGAUUUGUUGGGAUACAAUAUUAUAAAACAUGACAUAAUGUAACAAAUUGAAAUUCAUUAAUAAAUUUAUUUAUUUAUUUAUAUUUUUUAUUUCUUUUAUUAUUUCAUAUGCAUUAAUUAGUUAUAUGAGCAUACAUGCUCAUAUCACUUACAUUAUACAUGAUUUAAAUGCAUUAGAAGUUAUACAGAAAAUACAAGUUAUGGGUUCUUUGUAAGAUAAUAAAUUGUUUACAAUCAGUUCAUGAAUCUAAAUAAUCUAACAGAGAUUGUAGUGCAACACCUCUUAAAUUAAAGAAUAACUUGUCUUGGUUAUCAUGAUAAAGUUCUCAUGAUAAAUACACUAAUAUAUAUAGUUAUACAUUGGCAAAACCUAUGGUAAAUCAUAACAUAAGAUUAUCAAUUGUCAUGAUUCAUCAAAUUAUCAUACCGCAUGGGCUCUUGCUACUCUCAACCUAAUAUGAUCAUAUAUCCUUACAGAUUAGGUCACUUUGUAGACGCUAAUAAUUUCUCUCUUAUGUUUCAUAAUGUUUUUAUUUUUUCAAGACGCAAAUAAGAUCUCGAUAAAAUACUUAGCAACAUAAGGCUUUGGUAGCUAAAUAUUCUCAUUCUAUAAGUCACUAACUAAAGCAUGAUAAGUAUAGAUUUAAGAUGACACAUCUCUAUCCUCGAUUCCCGAAAAAUUUCUAACAUCCUCUCUGACACAUUUUUCAAUUCUAGCAUCCUAUAGCAUAAUAUUUAUUACUUGAAAAUCAAAUAGGAUUUUUUUUCGCUUGAGAUGAUCUGCGUCCCUCUUGAGACGGUCUCAGAAAGCAAAUGAGGAGAAAGGAGGAUUUACCUCCAAGGUACAAUAAUCAAACUACAAAAAUUCAAAUGCAAUCUAUAUUGAAGAUAAUACAUAUCAAGUAUUACCAAAAUAUAGAAGUCCUCAAUCCCCAUUCUCUAUUUAACAAUUGGUUUAAAAACUAUAAAAAAUAAUAAAUAAAAAAUAAAAAAUAAAAGUUAAUAAUUACGCUCUAUCAUGUCUUUUUUCCUGCUUAGUUUCCAAAGUCCAAAUCCACCUAGCCAAACGCACCUCUACAAAUCCUAAUUCUGCUUGCAAAAGGAAUGUAACUAAAGACUUCCAAAAAGACUCAAACUGACUAUUAACGGUCCAAAAAACCGCCAAAGAAUGAGUUGCAACAGGUAUGGCACCUCAUACCUCUCGCCACCUUUUCCCGAUCAGAUUCUUCUUCAAUUUUCAGUCAAAAUCUCCAUUCAAAACCUUACCCAUAUCUCCAUUUUCAUCGUACCAAGCAACACCCACCAAGAAGAAAACAUUUUCCCAUAUUUUCCAAGAAUGCUCGGAUCGAAAAGCGCUGUGUCCGGGUAAACAAGCCCAUGCUCGCAUGAUCUUAACUGAGUUUAAACCGACGGUCUUUGUUACGAAUUGUUUGAUCCAAAUGUACAUUAAAUGUUCCGAUUUGGAAUUUGCUUUCAAGGUGUUUGAUGGAAUGCCUCAACGGGACACGGUUUCUUGGAACGCAAUGCUUUUUGGUUAUGCGGGGCGUGGAGAUAUAGGAGUCGCGCAAAAGUUGUUUGACGCAAUGCCUGAACGGGAUGUGGUGUCGUGGAACUCUUUGAUUUCAGGGUACUUGCACAAUGGUGAUCAUCGAAAGGUGAUUGAUGUUUUUUUACAGAUGGGAAGAAUGGGUACAGUGUUUGACCGUACUACUUUUGCUGUUGUGCUGAAAUCUUGUUCCUCUUUGGAAGACCAUGGUGGGGGGAUCCAAAUUCAUGGACUUGCAGUUAAAAUGGGUUUUGAUUGUGACGUGGUUACUGGAAGUGCUUUACUAGAUAUGUAUGCAAAAUGUAAGAAAUUAGAUUGUUCAAUUCAGUUUUUUCAUAGUAUGCCUGAAAAGAACUGGGUUUCUUGGAGUGCCAUAAUUGCAGGUUGUGUUCAGAAUGAUGACCUCAGGGGUGGUUUAGAAUUGUUCAAGGAGAUGCAGAAAGCAGGAGUUGGGGUGAGCCAAUCUACUUUUGCUAGUGUGUUCAGGUCUUGUGCAGGUUUAUCUGCAUUAAGAUUAGGCUCUCAGUUGCAUGGUCAUGCAUUAAAGACUGAUUUUGGGACUGAUGUUGUAAUAGGAACUGCCACUCUGGAUAUGUACAUGAAGUGUAACAAUUUGUCAGAUGCUCAAAAGCUAUUUAAUUCUUUGCCGAAUCAUAACUUGCAAUCUUAUAAUGCCAUUAUUGUUGGGUACGCUCGAAGUGACAAAGGUAUUGAAGCUUUAGGGAUGUUUCGGCUUUUGCAAAAGUCAGGUCUUGGGUUAGAUGAAGUUAGUCUAUCUGGUGCUUUUAGGGCUUGUGCAGUUAUUAAAGGGGAUCUAGAGGGGCUUCAAGUACAUGGAUUAUCAAUGAAGAGUUUGUGCCAAUCAAAUAUUUGUGUGGCAAAUGCCAUCUUGGACAUGUAUGGUAAAUGCGGAGCUCUGGUUGAAGCUUGUCUUGUGUUUGAGGAAAUGGUCAGCAGAGAUGCUGUCUCUUGGAAUGCAAUCAUUGCAGCUCAUGAGCAGAAUGGAAAUGAAGAAAAAACACUUUCCCUAUUUGUUUGGAUGCUCCAAUCAGGGAUGGAACCUGAUGAGUUCACUUAUGGUAGUGUUUUAAAAGCUUGUGCAGGUUGGCAAGCUCUGAACUGUGGCAUGGAGAUCCACAACAGGAUUAUAAAAUCCAGGCUGGGAUUGGACAGUUUUGUGGGAAUUGCUCUUAUUGAUAUGUACAGCAAGUGUGGAAUGAUGGAAAAGGCAGAGAAGCUCCAUGACAGGUUAGCAGAACAAACAGUGGUUUCAUGGAAUGCCAUUAUUUCUGGGUUCUCCUUGCAGAAACAAAGUGAGGAAGCUCAGAAAACUUUUUCUAAAAUGUUGGAAAUGGGUGUGGAUCCAGAUAACUUCACUUAUGCCACAAUUCUUGAUACCUGUGCCAAUCUGGUCACUGUUGAACUUGGCAAGCAGAUUCAUGCUCAAAUCAUCAAGAAAGAAUUGCAAUCAGAUGCUUAUAUAUCAAGCACUCUAGUUGAUAUGUAUUCGAAGUGUGGAAACAUGCAAGAUUUCCAAUUAAUAUUUGAGAAAGCACCUAACCGUGAUUUUGUGACAUGGAAUGCCAUGGUCUGCGGCUAUGCUCAGCAUGGUCUUGGAGAAGAGGCUCUUAAAAUAUUUGAGUAUAUGCAACUUGAGAAUGUAAAACCAAAUCAUGCAACAUUCCUUGCAGUUCUCCGAGCUUGUGGGCAUAUGGGGCUUGUUGAGAAAGGUUUGCAUUAUUUCCAUUCAAUGCUUAGUAACUAUGGGUUAGAUCCUCAGUUGGAGCACUAUUCUUGUGUAGUGGAUAUAAUGGGGAGGUCAGGCCAAGUUAGCAAAGCUUUGGAGCUUAUUGAAGGGAUGCCUUUUGAGGCCGAUGCUGUUAUUUGGAGAACUCUGCUUAGCAUUUGCAAGAUCCAUGGAAAUGUAGAGGUGGCAGAAAAGGCAGCCUAUUCUAUUUUGCAACUGGAACCUGAAGAUUCUGCUGCUUAUGUUCUUCUAUCAAAUAUUUAUGCUAAUGCUGGGAUGUGGAACGAAGUUACGAAGUUGAGGAAGAUGAUGAGAUUUAAUGGGCUAAAAAAGGAGCCGGGAUGCAGCUGGAUUGAGAUAAAGAGCGAGGUACAUGCUUUCCUUGUUGGUGAUAAGGCUCACCCAAGAAGCAAAGAGAUAUAUGAGAACCUGGAUGUGUUGACAGAUGAGAUGAAAUGGGUUGGGUAUAUGCCUGAUACUGAUUUUAUUCUUAAUGAUGAUGAAUUGCGCUGUGUAAAUGGCUGAUACAAUUUUCUCUUAAUGAUGGAGAAGAGGAACACGAGCAACAGCAGCAUUUCACAUCCUGCUUGGGGAUUUAGUUUCUUUGCCACCAGAGAAUAUAUCAGGAAGCAAAUGGCACUGAAUUUGGCGAGAAUUUUGGAUAUUUCAAGCAAACAAACAGAGUGUGGAAACGCAGUAAUCAUUCGGAAAUUUGAAGUUCCUGAAUUCUGGAUAUUUCAAGCCAAUGAUUUGUUGUGUGGUAGACAAGAAAUCACUCUAUAAGCUUGAUAAACUAUUGCUGGAGAAAUCCCUCAAAAUUUCCAGAGCAGGAAUGCUUGAUAAACUAUUUCAGGGGAAAUCCAUCAAAAUUUCCAGAGCAGGAAUGAUAAAGGAACCAAGCCACAGAUACAAUGGCCACAGAUUGUAAAUGAGGAGAGCUGCUGGAGAAUGGAGUAGGAAUAAGAAUGAAUAACGAAGAUUAAGAUCAUCAAGCAUAAGAAAAGAAAAGCAGCCAAGAUUCAGUUUUGCUUCCACACCAUUCAGUUAUUCCUGUUCCUCACUAACAUGUGGUAGUGAGUAGUGAGUUGAUUUUGAUGAAGGAUUUAUCACAUCACUUGAAUUGAUUUGUACUUUACAACCGAAGCUCUGCAAAACCAAAUACUGAUUUGUUAUGUCAAUGAAGUUGUGAAUCAUUAAUAGCAAUCACCAGGGAUCCUACUUUGACACCAUAAAAUCUUUCCAACACUAUCUGCUGAUGCCCCCAGCCGUCCUCUUCAUAGGCACUCUGGAUGGAUUAGUGAAAAAAUAAAGUAAAAGAGGCAAUCUACUUCUUGCUAAAAAUAUGUUGCUCCUGCCAAAGUUAAAAGAAACUAUUUCUCAGUUCUACAACAUUUCAUCCUCAUUAUGAUUUUUAACGAAGUUAGCAUAUAGGCCAAAGAAACAUGUGAGAACUACAAAACCUACAAGGUUAAGUGAUGAUUAGAGAGGUAUAUACAGAUGUUGCAUUUCGGCUCCUCAUCAAGUGAAACACAAAAUUUUCCUGUGGGCAGGUAAUCGAGAGAGACUCUCCCACAGAUAACAUCAAAAUUGGCGGUUUUGUUGUUGAAACAAGUAGGCUGCUGUCAGUAAGAUGAAAACUGCCAUGAAGAUAUACUUGAAGCUAAGCUGCCCUGGAUCUAACCUCCUCACUGUCUCAGGCUCUGAUACAGAAUCUGAAGGCCCAGCAAUAAUUCCCCCAACAGAUAAAUUUUUUGGUGCCUCCUCCAUCUGGAAACAGGCCAAGACAGAAGUAUUUUAGAAAAAAUAAUAAUAAUUUAUGAUUUCCAUAAGGGACAAAGAUAUAAACAUUAGAAAAUAUCAAAUAAAAAAUUUGUCUUUAACAUUAGAAUAUAUUGUUUUCUUUUUUCUCUCUUUUGGCCUUCAAAAAAGAUUGAACUGAAAUUUUAAAAAGAACUACACUUUCACAAGCAAAACUAAAAAGAUCACCAACCUCAAAACUCGAAGCUGAGAACUCAGUUUGUUCUACGAUGCAUUCUUUUGCACAAGUGGCAGUAGUCAAAUCAUCCUUGGGACAAAAUUCUCCGCGAGUCACUUUACUAGCAAUAGAGGGGUCCUCCGUUUUCUUUAGCUUCCCCACCAAAACCUUAUUCUUGUCUGUUAACAAAGAUACCUGCACAUAAACAAACAAAGCAAGUUUCAAUUGGAAGAAGUUUUGAGUACUAUUAUCUCCAGCACAAUACUUUCACCAAGCAACCAUGCAACUGAUUUAUCACUUAGCAUGCAUUUUAAAUUUAUUUUUAUUUCAACACCUAAAAUAAUGGAUUAAUGUGAGAAAGAAGACAGCAAAAAGGAAGCAAGCACAGCCACAAUCAACAUCGAAUCUGGAUAAAUGAAUAGGCUAAGACCUGCUUAUGAAGGCGCUCUCUCUCAAAAGCAAGUUGCAUGACCAAAUUUGUUAUUACUUUGGUCCGAACACUAAUGUCCUUUGCAGUCUCAACUUUUGUUUCCUCAGCUUGAUGCAAAGAUGUCUCCAAGCAUUCCAUUCUAGUCCUCAGAAAACUAAGUUCCUCACUUAGCUCUGCAUUAGAUUCAGAUAAUAUUAUACACUUCUCUUCUGUGCAGUCAGCCCGGCUUUCAGCUUUUGAAACUUUCAGUUUCAGAUCCUCAAUUAAAUUUUCCAUAUCCUCUAUUGUAGAAUACAACAUGCUUUGCUUCUCCAGACUUGCUUCAGCAGAUGCUAAUGCAUGCUGUAGCUGAAUAUCAGAUUCCCUCAACUGCUUCUCAAGUGAAUUCACCUUCUCAGUGGUGUUAUCACUUCUAAGAAGAACCAGCUCAUCACUAAGUUCCAUAUUGGUCUCCAUUAACAAUUUACACUUGGCUUCUGCACUCUCAGCCCUACUUUCUGCUUUAGAAAUUCUUUCUUUCAGGUUGAUGACAACAUUUUUCAUUUCACUGAGUUGAGAAUAUAAAGGAUGCUGCUCCUGGUUCCCAUCAACAGAGGCUUUUGCAUUCAUCAGCUGAAACUCAGAUUCUUUCAGCUGGUUCUCGAGUGAACUAACCUUCUCCCUCAAAGUGAAGGCCUCAGAAUUAGAAAGAAUUAAUUUAUCUUCAGCUUCCCUCAGGCUGGCUUUCAAGUUGUUCGUCUGUUGUAUAAGGAAGUCAUGAAGUUCAGCACUGCUGCUUUCAAGCUUCAGCAAAGCAUCUUCUUUGUCUUCCACCUCCUUUGUAGAACCUUGAAGCUUAGAUUUCAAUUCUCCUUCUCGCUUCAUUGAACCGUUUAAGUUGAACUGAAAUAUCUGAAGCCGACCCCUUAGUUCUUUUGAAAUACCCUUUAGGACCUCAGCAGCAUUCUCUGCCUCAAACAACCUUUCCCAAACAAUUGCUUCUUCUUCUUCCAUGAAGAAAACUUCUUGUUCUAAAGAAUGUAGCCUAAGUUUCAGCUCUUCUUCAAGUUGUCUUGAUUCAGCCAACUUCUUUUCAACAUCCAACUCUCUUGCCAAAGAUUUCUCUAGCAUCCUUAGAAUAUCUCUUUGUUGCUCAGCAGUCUGCAUUUUUAUCUUUGUAUUCAUGUUUGAAAAUUCACUGUUUUCUAAAAGAUCCAUGCCUUUGUCAUUAUUCCCUGUCAAUAUCAUUCAUUAGAGAAGAAAAUAAUCAAAACCAAGAAGGUGUUUAGUAAAUCAACUUAAUAAAUUAAUAUGAUUUAAGUUAUUAAGUAUAUUAAAUAUAUUUGGUAAAGUAACUUAAAUUAUAACUUAAAGUUAAAAAUGACUUAGAUAAAUCAACUUAAUAAUUUAAUAUGACACAAUAAUUUAAGUAUAAUUUAACCUAAAGUCAUCUUAAGCCAAUAAGCUUUAGAUAUUAAGUCUUUACCAAACACACUCUUAAGUCUUUCUCACAUAUUACACAUCUUAUGUUUGCAGUUAAUAGGAAGUUAAUUUUAAACUGAUACUUUUCAUCUAUGACAAACAUCUCCAUCCUUUAAUGUCUCCCCCCUCCUCCGUGGGAAAAUAUAAAUCAAUCAAAUAAAACAGAAUGCAAGAUUGAUCAACUCUUUUACCAGCUAAACAUGGUGGAACCACAUCAGCACAAUAUAUAACAUAUGGUUCCAAUAUGCUGCUGGGCACCACAAUGUGAUGAUGUUGCACCACCAUGUCAGCUCCUUGCCAAUCAUAAAAGAGCCUUUUAGUCCAACAUCUUCCAAGAAUAGAUUAAAUUAAUACAAUCAAUAGCUUAAAUUAAUACAAUCAAUAGCUUACACUUUCCUUCUCCAUCAAAACAUAGCAAAGUCCUCUGGAACUUUGCAGACUGCAUCCUUAUUUCUGAAACAUGAUCCUGUGACUGCUUCAAUAAUACAUCAGAAUCAUGUAAUUUUUCUUCCAUUUCCAUGAAAGCUCCUCCCAAAUUUUCACAUGAAGACAAUAUUUCAUGGGUAUGAGCAACAUCCUUUUGUAGAGUAGUCAUGAAAUUAUCCACUUCUCUCACCUCUGAAUCUAGAAUUCCAGAUAAGAGAUCAAACUCUAGAGCCUUCUGCACAGAAUCAUCUAAAACAUGUUCUUCCUCUGAAGCAAAGGCCUCAAAAUCACUUUCCCUUGUUGCCACAUGCAUCGUAAGUAUGCUCAAGUUAAAUAACUUCUCUGAGGAACAAGCCAAAUCUAGUUCCACUCUCUUUAGAACCUCUGUAGCAUUUCCUACUUCAAGCAUAACCUCUCCAUAGGAUGAGAUCCCUUCAUGCAAGUCCAUAUUAUUCUCCUCUGCCUCUGGGUCACUAGUAUUAAUGUCAUCAACAGAUGCAGUUGCAUCAAGAACUGUUUCAGCAUCCAUUCCAAUAAUCCAGUUGUUUUGCUGAUCACUGAAGCUUGAACAUAAUUGAAUUUCAGCUUUGUGGUUUAAUAAAACAUUUAAUCAGUAGCAAAAGAACAGUGCAAGUAACACAUCAGAGAGAAAAUAUGAUGACAAUGAUAUAAUGAACAACAUGAUAACUACAAACAAGAGUACAUUACAGAUUACCAACUUUAAAAGCUAUAUCCUAGGCUAAAGUGUAAAGUGGAUGUUUGGCUUCACAGCUCCCUACUUGGCCAAGUGAUUAGACAUUCCCCAUAGCAGAACAGAGCAGUUCAAAUAUCAAGUAUCACUUCUUUAAGUGACAGAAACCAAUAUAAGUUGACAAAAAAAGGUCAUGUCUAGUCAAAAUACUAAUGAAAAUUUUCAUAGUGUAAAGUAGAUUUAUUUUCUGGUAUCUACCUCAAUAACAAAGCCUAUGGGAAGGGAAGUCAUGAAUGAAAAUCAUCCUUUACCAGAAGAACUGAAUUGUUAAAGUUCUUUAUUUACCUUCCUUUGUGUUGUUGUUAUCUACCUCAAUAACAAAGCUUUUUGAUUUUUAUUCUUUCUUUCUUUCUUUUUUUACUUUGAGUUGGAAAAUUUUCAUCAUAUUCAAACUCUUUUUGUUGAUUUCAGGUUAGACAGCCAUGCUAAAAGGGAUUCCAUUUUUUUUGUAUUUAUUACAAGAAUUGAGUACUAAUUGACCCAUAAUAUUAGUGUAGACAUUCAAGUAUGACUUGGUAUGAUCAAAAGUCAUCUAAGUGCAUACCCUCCAUUGAUCGGAAGCUAAGUUUGUCACCAAAAAGGAAUAUUUAGACUGGAUUGUUCACAGUUCAAACCUUCAUACUAAAAAACAUGUCCUUUGUGAAUGGCAUCUUAUACGUGUGAAUCAUGGGUACCAUAUUAGAAGGAAAAUAAACUCUUUUAGGGAAAUAAAAACAAAAAGUUAUGCCUAAUAAAAGUAUAUUUGAUCCAACACAAACCCAAAUUCAAUUAGAAAAUUUUCCUUCCCCAAGAAGGAUUUUUCAAACAAAUCCAGAGGCACAAUCUCACACUAACCCAGAGCACCACAGGGAACUAAUACAUCAUGGAAGUAGACAUAUAUGGCUGAAUCAGAAAACUGAUAAAAUUGCCUAC
Molecule: long non-coding RNA, 18210 nt
Filed under: Vitis vinifera (wine grape)
Lineage: Eukaryota; Viridiplantae; Streptophyta; Magnoliopsida; Vitales; Vitaceae
Description: long non-coding RNA (VVIN_LNC004783)
Source: RNAcentral